Molecule: ribosomal RNA, 442 nt
Filed under: uncultured bacterium
Lineage: Bacteria
Description: bacterial SSU rRNA
Rfam family: Bacterial small subunit ribosomal RNA
Source: RNAcentral
UCGAGAAUCUUCGGCAAUGGGCGCAAGCCUGACCGAGCGACGCCGCGUGCGGGAUGAAGGCCUUCGGGUUGUAAACCGCUGUCGUAGGGGAGGAAGAUCCUGUGAAGAACAGGGUUUGACCGAUCCUAGGAGGAAGGGCCGGCUAAUCUCGUGCCAGCAGCCGCGGUAAUACGAGAGGCCCAAACGUUAUUCGGAUUUACUGGGCUUAAAGAGUUCGUAGGCGGCGCGAAAAGUGGGGUGUGAAAGCCCUCGGCUUAACCGAGGAAUUGCGCUCCAAACUACCGUGCUUGAGGAAGCUAGAGGUGAGCAGAACUGAUGGUGGAGCGGUGAAAUGCGUUGAUAUCAUCAGGAAUACCGGAGGCGAAGGCGGCUCACUGGGGCUUUUCUGACGCUGAGGAACGAAAGCCAGGGUAGCGAACGGGAUUAGAUACCCGCGUAGUCC